UACGUAGGGUGCGAGCGUUAAUCGGAAUUACUGGGCGUAAAGCGUGCGCAGGCGGUUCGUUGUGUCGGCGGUGAAAGCCCCGGGCUUAACCUGGGAACGGCCGUUGAAACUGGCGAACUGGAGUGUGGCAGAGGGGGGUGGAAUUCCGCGUGUAGCAGUGAAAUGCGUAGAGAUGCGGAGGAACACCGAUGGCGAAGGCAGCCCCCUGGGCUAACACUGACGCUCAUGCACGAAAGCGUGGGGAGCAAACAGG
This 253-nucleotide ribosomal RNA is filed under the name uncultured bacterium. RNAcentral's name for it is "partial 16S ribosomal RNA". It matches the Rfam family "Bacterial small subunit ribosomal RNA", at positions 524 to 776 of the family's 1533-position model. The record is from RNAcentral.